RNAcentral lists this ribosomal RNA (672 nucleotides) under Polypedates leucomystax (Java whipping frog). Its description in RNAcentral is "partial 16S ribosomal RNA". It matches the Rfam family "Bacterial large subunit ribosomal RNA", at positions 1668 to 2570 of the family's 2925-position model. Lineage: Eukaryota; Metazoa; Chordata; Amphibia; Anura; Rhacophoridae. The record is from RNAcentral.
GUAGUUACCGAACCUAAAUUUACUGCAAUAACACCCACAAGAAAACUCUGCAGUACUUACUCGUUAACCUAACACCAGCGCAUUACAGGAAAGAUUAAAAAAAAGAGAAGGAAUUCGGCAAAUGACGGCCCCGCCUGUUUACCAAAAACAUCGCCUCUUGACUUAUAAUAAGAGGUCCAGCCUGCCCAGUGAAUUUUAAACGGCCGCGGUAUCCUAACCGCGCGAAGGUAGCAUAAUCACUUGUUCUUUAAAUGGGGACUCGUAUCAACGGCAUCACGAGGGUUUUACUGUCUCCUCUUUUUGAUCAGUGAAAUUGAUCUUCCCGUGAAGAAGCGGGGAUAUUUUUAUAAGACGAGAAGACCCCAUGGAGCUUUAAACCAAAUAACAACUUAACUACUUAUCCCACAAUAAAUUUAAGCCCUGUUAUAAGGUUUUUGGUUGGGGUGACCGCGGAGUAAAGCACAUCCUCCACGACGGAAAGAACAUAAUCUUUAUUUAAGAACCACACUUCUAGAAAUUAGUAUACUAACGUUUACUGACCCGACAAUCGAUCAACGGACCAAGUUACCCUGGGGAUAACAGCGCAAUCUACUUCAAGAGCUCAUAUCGACAAGUAGGCUUACGACCUCGAUGUUGGAUCAGGGUAUCCCGGUGGUGCAGCCGCUACCGAAG